GAUGAACGCUGGCGGCGUGCUUAACACAUGCAAGUCGAACGAAGCACUUUAUUUGAUUUCCUUCGGGACUGAUCAUUUUGUGACUGAGUGGCGGACGGGUGAGUAACGCGUGGGUAACCUGCCUUGUACAGGGGGAUAACAGUUGGAAACGGCUGCUAAUACCGCAUAAGCGCACAGCAUCGCAUGAUGCAGUGUGAAAAACUCCGGUGGUAUAAGAUGGACCCGCGUUGGAUGCGCUAGUUGGUGAGGUAACGGCCCACCAAGGCGACGAUCCAUAGCCGGGCUGUGAGGCUGGCCCGCCACAUUGGGACUGGGACGCGGUCCGGACUCCUACGGGAGGGAGCAGUGGGGAAUAUUGCACAAUGGGCGAAGGCCUGAUGCAGCGACGCCGCGAGAGCGAAGAAGUAUUUCGGUAUGUAAAGCUCUAUCAGCAGGGACGAUAAUGACGGUACCUGACGAAGAAGCACCGGCUAAAUACGUG
RNAcentral lists this ribosomal RNA (481 nucleotides) under uncultured bacterium. RNAcentral describes it as "partial 16S ribosomal RNA". It matches the Rfam family "Bacterial small subunit ribosomal RNA", at positions 28 to 507 of the family's 1533-position model. The record is from RNAcentral.